GAGUUUGAUCAUGGCUCAGGAUGAACGCUAGCGGCAGGCUUAAUACAUGCAAGUCGAGGGGCAGCAUGGUGUAGCAAUACACUGAUGGCGACCGGCAAACGGGUGCGGAACACGUACGCAACCUUCCCAAAAUUGGUGAAUAGCCCUCCGAAAGGAGGAUUAAUACACCGUAACAUAUAGAGAUGGCAUCACCUUUAUAUUAUAGCUCCGGCGAUUUUGGAUGGGCGUGCGACUGAUUAGGUAGUUGGCGGGGUAACGGCCCACCAAGCCUACGAUCAGUAACUGGUGUGAGAGCACGACCAGUCACACGGGCACUGAGACACGGGCCCGACUCCUACGGGAGGCAGCAGUAAGGAAUAUCGGUCAAUGGACGAAAGUCUGAACCAGCCAUGCCGCGUGAAGGAUGAAGGUCCUCUGGAUUGUAAACUUCUUUUAUAUGGGACGAAAAAAGGGAAUUUUUUACUCACUUGACGGUACCAUAGGAAUAAGCACCGGCUAACUCCGUGCCAGCAGCCGCGGU
This 520-nucleotide ribosomal RNA is filed under the name uncultured Sphingobacterium sp. RNAcentral describes it as "bacterial SSU rRNA". It matches the Rfam family "Bacterial small subunit ribosomal RNA", at positions 9 to 521 of the family's 1533-position model. Lineage: Bacteria; Pseudomonadati; Bacteroidota; Sphingobacteriia; Sphingobacteriales; Sphingobacteriaceae. The record is from RNAcentral.